Osmerus eperlanus (European smelt) is the source of this 3874-nucleotide RNA transcript. RefSeq lists it as uncharacterized. The transcript has 4 exons. NCBI's taxonomy places the organism in Eukaryota, Metazoa, Chordata, Actinopteri, Osmeriformes, Osmeridae. The record is from RefSeq and is a predicted model, not a curated record.
CACCAGGCCAGAAAAGUGUGACCGCCCUGCCCCAGACCGACAUGGUGGCCAGGGACCUUAAAUACCUAAGGGGGAGCAGGGAGGUGGAUAUAUAAGACCAGGCAAAGACUGGGCCUAGACACAGAGGAGCUUGAGAGAACCACCAGCGAACCAUGUGGAGCUUUGUCCUGCUAGCCUUUGUGACCUUGUUGCCAAGGACUGUGGCCAUGGAGACUACUACUGUGACCUCCAACGUCACUGGGACUCCAGAUCAGACCCUUGCAAACACGACCACACCUCCAACGAACCACUCCUCACAGACCACCUUUACCUCAGUCAACAGCACCACUCUCCAUCAAUCAACUGGAGCCACACCCAGCACCAGUAACGUUACCACGGAAACCUUCAACAGCAGCCAGACUCAAUCCCCCAAUACGACCACAGCAGGUAUAGGGACUCCCGCCAUCAGUACCAAUGCCACUCAAUCCACCACCACUGGCCACUCCAUUACUCCCUCCUCCCAAGCUUCCACCCUUUCCCCAAGCACUGAACUCAACCCGACAACCAAAAUAGAGGACCCUCCCUCUCGUACAACCCAGCCGCCCACUGGGGGCAGCUCUGCCCUUCUGGGGUCCCUGUACCUCGUCUGGGCUCCUCUGCUCUCCAUCCUCCACCUGAUGCUGAUGUAGGAGAGACAACAAACCCGUCCCGUCGGAGAGUACUGUUGAGUAGAACAUGUUGUAUGGAGUUUAAAAGAGCUAUGAAGUGCUUCUGGACCCGCGGACAAAGUGCGGAGCUUCUUACCGUACAUAAAGAACUGGUUCUUAUUCAAGUUGGUUUUAAAUAAUGUCUCAAACAUGUGAUACACCUUUCUGAUGAAUAGGAUCUUGUGUACACACCAAAACAAACACACACACACAGACACACUCCGCACACAGAAACUGGGAAAAUUGUGACAAGGAGUGUCUUGGCAUGACCAAACAACAUUGUGCAACACAAUGUACAUCAUGUUUUAACAUCUCUCAAAGCGUUGUUCAUAUCUAGAAGUCACAGCUGGGCAUGCUUUACAUAGAUGAGCAUUGUGAUUUGCAAUUGUAUGGGCAUAUGUGAAGCCUUCGGUGACAUUGCUUGUAAACAUGGCUGUACAAAUGACAUUUUAUUUGAUCUGAUGUCUUUACCCUGGGUUAGGGGAUUGGGGUCAUAGACAAAUAGGCGAUAGGCAGCGUGAGUAAAGACAGUGAAUCGCUAGAACAAUCACCCAAGGAGGUCUUCAAUCAACAUUCACGUUUAGGUAUCUGAACACUCACACAUGCACCUUAUUUUCAAAUAUCUGAUUGUGGCAUCAUUUGCAAAGAACGAGAUAAAUUAGCUUGGGUGAUGUGAACAUAUCUCAUGCCUUUCUUUUCAGAACACUAUGUCCACUAGAUGAAAAGUUAUUGAUUUACACCAAGUUUAACUAAACAGGUACAGUAAAGAGAAUUCUUUGGUGUGUUUUCUAAAGGAAACCCAGAUGGAUUGUCAGAGACAAGCCUUUAGGUUGUGCAAUUCAGAGAUAGAAUUGAACAUGUUGCGGAAAACGCAUGCAUCAAUAGACAAUCUCAAGCACCAUAAAACUGAUAUUCAUCUCCCUUUAAAACAUACAGUGAACGAUUAUGACAGUUAUUGAACCAACAAGACAAGGAGCAAAGAAAAAUAUAUAGCUAUGACCACCUUCACAAAUAUUCUCUACACCAGGACUGACAUAUUGGUCGAUGUACCUGUGGUUUUGGGCAAUCUGCUCCAUUGUAGCUAACUUCCUGGAGGCAGCUUGUGGUAGGCUGAGGGUGAUUUGGGUAUAUUAUAAAAGACUCUCUCUCUGAGCAGCAUUCAGACUACAGGGAACUACCUUGCAGCCAGAACAGGACAGACGAAAACCGAGUCAGCCCAGGAUAGAACCAGGAGAACUGAGUUAACCCAGGAUAGACCCAGGACAUCAUUUGACCUUGUAAAACCUGAUUUAACUUCUGCUGUCAGAUCAUCAUCCUUUGUCUUUGAUAUGAAGUACCUGAGUCUGAGCUUCACAUUUGCCAUCCUGGUUUGUUCCUUUGCACAGGGUAGCACAACCAUGGUGAAUUCAACAACCGCAAAUGCUUCACCAGCCAUAACAAAUAUGACCACUUCAAUGCCUGUCAGCGCUGAAAACACCACCAACACCAAUUCCAACAACACCACAACAGCAGGGUCGAGCAUUUCUUCAACCCCCAAAUCAGGGGACAGCAUUGUUACACACUCAAUAACUCUGUUGUCAGGCACCCUGCUUCUACAUUCUCUGUGGCAUUAAGUUCCCACAGAGAAUGUGACCACUAUUUGUUUAUCUUUUCUACUCGCUUACCUGUCUUCAAUCAUUGUUGUCUUGCCAUGUCUGUUUCAUAAGAUGCAUUCAUAUAGUUUGUGAAAUAUCAACAAAAAAAAGGUUUAUUUUCAAAUGCACCCAUUUGUGCGUUUUUGUGCAAUAGGAAAUGUUAUGUACUGUGUUGCUCUUUUUACUGCUUCGUCAAUUGUUAUAUCCUAAUAUUUUUAUCAGUAUAUGAAGGUCGAAUUUGACCAACGAAUAUUCAACAAAAUAGCUGUCAGCGCAAUACAAGUGACUACAAGGCAAUGUCAAAAAUGUAUUUUACGUACAACUGUGAAAGACUUCAGACCGCCCAUGCACUGCUCCUCAUGACACUGGGCAACACCUGCAGUGUGGUCCAUGUUAAGAGUCUCCAUGGUCGUUGUAAAAAGCAAAUGGACAUCUAAUGCGAAAUUAAGACUUCAUCAUAUAUCAUGGCCUAACAUGCUCUAACAUACACGUUUCAGACAUCGAUCUCGUGAUCGGCUUGAAGCAGAGUCUCAUCCAAACACAUUAGUCAAACAUAUUCAGAUGUGAUUCACAUCACAUCAACUGUCCAUACAUAAGGACAAUACAGAGGGACAGUCACUGAUUGGCCGUCAUCAGCCACCACCAUCAUCACCAGUGUCUAGACUCAAUAGGGAGAUUUACCUUGCUGCUGCUCAGGGCAGACACCCCUCGAUUACCAAAUUUCGCUAUAAAGUCUGAGCGCCAAAGGGUCCAUGACGCCAUCAUUAUUCAUUCAUAAACAAUGCUAUUUACAUCAUUUAGGCUACUGCUCUCAUCUGAUUGAAAUUAACCCUGGACACGAACAGGCCUCAAUCUCACUUUAAUCAAUCUUCAUAAAACGUAAUCUGCUCGCUCUUAACUUCAAUCAUGUGAGUUAUGUUUAUGAUUUCUAAAAUAAAUGAAUCAUUGAUUGUACAUAUUAUACAUUUCAUUAAGAUUCAAUUAUUAGACUUCUUAUCUUGACACAAGACUAUUUUCUAUCUUUCUGAUAGACCAGUUCAUUCUGUUCAUUGAAACCAAACCAUUUCUCAUAGCAAAUUCAUAAUCUAACUUAAUCAUUUGAUUAAUAUUUACUUCACUUUACUAAAUUCUUUGUAAGGGUUAGGGUUAGGGUUAACCCUAACCCUAUAUUUUGCGUGUGCGUGUUGACCAUUGUUAUUAUUUGCUCUACAGAAUACUGGUUCUUACUUAAAUAUCAAGUUUCCUUGAUUUGCCAGAAGGAAAUAUUUAGGUGGUGCCCCCCUAGAUAAAAAAAUAUGUAUAAAUUAAGUAUAUCUUUUCUUAAUAACCACGCUCCCUACACGUUCUUAUUUUCCAAGUUCGUAUCAGUAUUUCCUUGUUCUCAGAACCAUUCACCAGCUGCAUGUCCUAUCCAGUUUGCUUAUGUGGUGUCAUGUCCCUGGGUUGGACCUGCCCUUUUCGUUCUCUACCUGUCUGUUCUUUGUCUGUCGGUCCCUUUUUAUUUUCAAUUAAAGGCUCCUGCGUUCCUGUCCAGACGCUCGGUGUUAACUACCA